This 375-nucleotide ribosomal RNA is filed under the name uncultured organism. RNAcentral's name for it is "partial 16S ribosomal RNA". It matches the Rfam family "Bacterial small subunit ribosomal RNA", at positions 527 to 896 of the family's 1533-position model. The record is from RNAcentral.
GUAGGUGGCAAGCGUUGUCCGGAAUUAUUGGGCGUAAAGCGCGCGCAGGCGGUUCUUUAAGUCUGAUGUGAAAGCCCACGGCUCAACCGUGGAGGGUCAUUGGAAACUGGAGAACUUGAGUACAGAAGAGGAAAGCGGAAUUCCACGUGUAGCGGUGAAAUGCGUAGAGAUGUGGAGGAACACCAGUGGCGAAGGCGGCUUUUCUGGUCUGUAACUGACGCUGAGGCGCGAAAGCGUGGGGAGCAAACAGGGAUUAGAUACCCUGGUAGUCCACGCCGUAAACGAUGAGUGCUAAGUGUUAGGGGGGGUUUCCGCCCCCUUAGUGCUGCAGCUAACGCAUUAAGCACUCCGCCUGGGGAUACGGCCGCAAGGCUG